RNAcentral lists this ribosomal RNA (436 nucleotides) under uncultured bacterium. RNAcentral's name for it is "partial 16S ribosomal RNA". It matches the Rfam family "Bacterial small subunit ribosomal RNA", at positions 341 to 792 of the family's 1533-position model. The record is from RNAcentral.
ACGGGAGGCAGCAGUGGGGAAUAUUGGGCAAUGGGGGAAACCCUGACCCGGCAACGCCGCGUGGAGGAAGAAGGUCUUCGGAUCGUAAACUCCUGUCCUAAGAGACGAGUAGAAGACGGUAACUUAGGAGGAAGCCCCGGCUAACUACGUGCCAGCAGCCGCGGUAAUACGUAGGGGGCGAGCGUUGUCCGGAAUGAUUGGGCGUAAAGGGCGCGUAGGCGGCCUGUUAAGUCAGAAGUGAAAGUCCUGCUUUCAAGGUGGGAAUUGCUUUGGAUACUGAUGGGCUUGAGUGCAGGAGAGGUUAGCGGAAUUCCCGGUGUAGCGGUGAAAUGCGUAGAGAUCGGGAGGAACACCAGUGGCGAAGGCGGGUAACUGGACUGCAACUGAUGCUGGGGCGCGAAAGUGUGGGGAGCAAACAGGAUUAGAUACCCUGGUA